AGUGAACGCUGGCGGUAGGCCUAACACGUGCAAGUCGAACGGCAGCACAGUAAGAGCUUGCUCUUACGGGUGGCGAGUGGCGGACGGGUGAGGAAUACAUCGGAAUCUACUUUUUCGUGGGGGAUAACGUAGGGAAACUUACGCUAAUACCGCAUACGACCUACGGGUGAAAGCAGGGGAUCUUCGGACCUUGCGCGAUUGAAUGAGCCGAUGUCGGAUUAGCUAGUUGGCGGGGUAAAGGCCCACCAAGGCGACGAUCCGUAGCUGGUCUGAGAGGAUGAUCAGCCACACUGGAACUGAGACACGGUCCAGACUCCUACGGGAGGCAGCAGUGGGGAAUAUUGGACAAUGGGCGCAAGCCUUAUCCAGCCAUACCGCGUGGGUGAAGAAGGCCUUCGGGUUGUAAAGCCCUUUUGUUGGGAAAGAAAAGCAGCAGGUUAAUACCCCGCUGUUCUGACGGUACCCAAAGAAUAAGCACCGGCUAACUUCGUG
Molecule: ribosomal RNA, 492 nt
Filed under: uncultured bacterium
Lineage: Bacteria
Description: partial 16S ribosomal RNA
Rfam family: Bacterial small subunit ribosomal RNA
Source: RNAcentral